Molecule: long non-coding RNA, 459 nt
Organism: Pomacea canaliculata
Lineage: Eukaryota; Metazoa; Mollusca; Gastropoda; Architaenioglossa; Ampullariidae
Exons: 4
Source: RefSeq, a predicted model, not a curated record
UGUGCGCCCAAACUCGCCAGUCAACAGCAUUCUGGCAUCAACAAGCAGAAAUGGCACACUUGAAGCAGAUAGUCUAUCUCGACAUAAGAGCAAAACCGCUGGGAUGGGUCCAGAUGGGUUUCCUGUGUUGCCUCCAAUACAGAAGCCUUUGAGACAAAAAGAAGACCCAUACUCCAAGAGCAAAUUAAUGACAUUCCGCUUGGCUGAUCAAAAUAAAGCUCUUCUCAUGCAGAUUUUACAUGACAGUGCCAUCAAAGCAGCAGAUGAGGCUCACUUUUUUAAUGAGACAAAAACAGAAGAAAGUCCUGGUCACCAGAAUAUCCUGUUGAGAUGAUGAGCAAAGAUCGAAGGAUAAGGAUAAACUACCAGUUCCUCAAGAAGUCUGUGGAGAGUGGCCCCAUCACACCUAUGCAGCAUCAGUGGGCAGACCACAUCAAGAACCUGAUCCCUGAACAUCUU